UACGUAGGUGGCAAGCGUUGUCCGGAAUUAUUGGGCGUAAAGAGCAUGUAGGCGGGCUUUUAAGUCCGACGUGAAAAUGCGGGGCUUAACUCCGUAUGGCGUUGGAUACUGGAAGUCUUGAGUGCAGGAGAGGAAAGGGGAAUUCCCAGUGUAGCGGUGAAAUGCGUAGAUAUUGGGAGGAACACCAGUGGCGAAGGCGCCUUUCUGGACUGUGUCUGACGCUGAGAUGCGAAAGCCAGGGUAGCAAACGGG
This 252-nucleotide ribosomal RNA is filed under the name Acidaminococcus fermentans DSM 20731. Its description in RNAcentral is "partial 16S ribosomal RNA". It matches the Rfam family "Bacterial small subunit ribosomal RNA", at positions 524 to 776 of the family's 1533-position model. Lineage: Bacteria; Bacillati; Bacillota; Negativicutes; Acidaminococcales; Acidaminococcaceae. The record is from RNAcentral.